Molecule: ribosomal RNA, 251 nt
Filed under: uncultured prokaryote
Description: partial 16S rRNA
Rfam family: Bacterial small subunit ribosomal RNA
Source: RNAcentral
ACGGAGGGUGCAAGCGUUAUCCGGAUUUACUGGGUUUAAAGGGUGCGUAGGCGGAUCUUUAAGUCAGUGGUGAAAGUUUGCGGCUCAACCGUAAAAUUGCCAUUGAAACUGAAGGUCUUGAGUGCAAAUGAGGUAGGCGGAAUGUGUUGUGUAGCGGUGAAAUGCUUAGAUAUAACACAGAACCCCGAUUGCGAAGGCAGCUUACUGGGAUGAAACUGACGCUGAGGCACGAAAGCGUGGGGAGCAAACAG